Vicugna pacos (alpaca) is the source of this 494-nucleotide non-coding RNA. NCBI's taxonomy places the organism in Eukaryota, Metazoa, Chordata, Mammalia, Artiodactyla, Camelidae. The record is from RefSeq and is a predicted model, not a curated record.
UAUCCAACUACAUACACAAAGACACACUCUUGAUAUUACAAUUCUACUUCUGGGAAUGCAUCAUAGACAUGCUUGACGACACGAGACACGACAAUGUUAAUCACCACUGCAUUGCUUGUACCAGCAAAAUUUAUAACAACCUAAGUAUCUAUAAAGGGGGACAGAGUACAUUUGUAUCCCUCUCCUAUUGAAGAAUGUUGAAGUGUUUUUCUAAUUUUGCUAUUACAAAGAACAUUGAUUGCACUGACAUAAAAAAAUUAUGUCAUAUGCCCCAUCUGAUGACAAUUCAAGGUAUCAUGUGAGUCUCCAAAUAAAUUAUAAUAGAGUCCUCAGAUGCAUUGGAAAGGAUAAGGGGGACAGUGCAUGUGUAUGUGUGUGUGGAAAGGAAUAUUAAAAUUAUUCCAGGGGUUAGUUUUUUGAGUGGGAGGGACAACAGUAGUACUUUAAUCAUGUCCUGGUGAAGAAAAUAGAGUAAAUCUUACGCCUCUCCAACG